CGCGUAGGUGGUUUGUUUAGCGAGAUGUGAAAGCCCCGGGCUUAACCUGGGAACGGCAUUUCGAACUGGCAAGCUAGAGUGUGGUAGAGGGUAGUGGAAUUUCCUGUGUAGCGGUGAAAUGCGUAGAUAUAGGAAGGAACACCAGUGGCGAAGGCGGCUACCUGGACCAACACUGACACUGAGGUGCGAAAGCGUGGGGAGCAAACA
Molecule: ribosomal RNA, 207 nt
Filed under: uncultured bacterium
Lineage: Bacteria
Description: partial 16S ribosomal RNA
Rfam family: Bacterial small subunit ribosomal RNA
Source: RNAcentral